This 473-nucleotide ribosomal RNA is filed under the name uncultured bacterium. Its description in RNAcentral is "bacterial SSU rRNA". It matches the Rfam family "Bacterial small subunit ribosomal RNA", at positions 355 to 825 of the family's 1533-position model. The record is from RNAcentral.
UGGGGAAUUGUUCGCAAUGGGCGCAAGCCUGACGACGCAACGCCGCGUGGAGGAUGAAGACCUUCGGGUCGUAAACUCCUUUCGAUCGAGACGAAUGGCCUUUGGGUGAACAAUUCAGAGGAAUGACGGUACCGAGAGAAGAAGCCCCGGCUAACUCUGUGCCAGCAGCCGCGGUAAUACAGAGGGUGCAAACGUUGCUCGGAAUUACUGGGCGUAAAGCGCGUGUAGGCGGUUCGUUAAGUCGUCUGUGAAAGCCCAUGGCUCAACCAUGGAAGUGCAGCCGAUACUGGCAAACUUGAGUUCUGGAGAGGGUGGCGGAAUUCCCAGUGUAGAGGUGAAAUUCGUAGAUAUUGGGAGGAACACCGGUGGCGAAGGCGGCCACCUGGACAGAUACUGACGCUGAGACGCGAAAGCGCGGGUAGCAAACAGGAUUAGAUACCCAAGUAGUCCCUGAGCGGGCUGGCAAGGCGCAU